UAAAUACUCCUUCCAGAUUUCCUGUUUCCACAGAGCGCAGUUCAAUCGCCUUCUCUCCCCAGCCCAUGACCUGAUUAGAUUGAAGCGCAUGUCCAAGAAAAAUCUCGAUUGUCUAUCUGUGCCCAUCCAUGAGGAAGUUAGGUAUGUGUUAGCCUCUCACACAGUUAAAUGACAGAAAUGAUCACAGUACUGAUGGUUCAUCUUCAAGAGUGGACUGCUUGAAAACCAAAUAAAAGCAAGACGAUAUUUCAACGGCUGCGGUACCAUUUCCAGUGGGGUGAGAACUACUCUGUCAUCUUUUAUCUCAGUCCUUCUGUUGCUUUGGUUUGUAAGAAAGAUCAGCAGCAGCCUGGGAUCACAGGCUCCGGUUUUGCACUAGAUGCUGGAAAAGAAGACAUGUGGAAUCAUAAAAAAUGCAAAUUUUUGGCUACAUCUCACAUUUGACCUGUCCAUGGCAGAAUGAAACAAAUCCGGAGAGGUUUGUUCUGAGGUUCCUGGUUAGUCAGUGGCACUUUUGGUGGGCUCACAGCGGCACUGGAAAUUUGGCUUUGCUGGAGAAGAUCUGGCAGGAGAUAGUUCUGAUUGUUUAUGCUCCAGAGGCCUUCUUGGGUGCUAGAAAUUUGUUUCCCUAAAAUCUGAUCCUGCACACGAGAAAACAAAGCCUAUGCCCAGCACCCAAGAACCAGGAGAAGGAGAAAAAGCUGGGCUGUUUCUGCUGUGAGAAAAACAUGGGCAAGCUGAAGCUGAAGAGCCAGGAAAGAGCUCUGGCACUGCACAAGGCAGCUGGAGAUGGCCUGGGGCUGGUACUGUUCUUCCUUCACCCUUGCACAGACGAAGAUGGAGGUACUGUGAAAGGGAAAUUAUUAACUGCAGUACAACCUUUCCCAUCAUGCUGUUGCUCUGACAUGAUAAGCAGGAUUAUUCUCAUUUCUGGUACAGAACAAUAAACAUUCAAAUGAAUGGGUCAUGCUAAUAUCAGGGUUGAGGAAGAUGAACAGCAUGGGCUGCUAAGAUCCUGGCUCAGUCUGGUGCCCUGUUUAUAAUUUCUUCUCCAAAGCAGGGCCCUUCCUCCUUGAGGACGAUGGGAUGCUGGUGAGGUGGAACUCCUUCCCCAGCCUGGAUGGAUUUCACUCUGAUCUGAAGCUUAGAAAUACCAGAGCCACAGGAAACUCCUUUUUCUUCCUAGCUCUGUUGCAGCUCACCCAAGCAGCUCUGGGGAAAACACCAGUUUCAUGGCAAUUUACUUUCCCUAUCUGUGAAAUGAGAAUACACCCAGAAAUAUGUGGGAAAUGCUCAGAGGUUGAGAGCAAAUCUUAUUACUGUAAUUUUUUUUUUGUUUUCAACCACAAAGUACGGCGUUCUGCUUUGUCUGUCUUCAUCUUUCCUGCACUAUUUAUCAUGGGAAAAUCCACAUAACUUAAGGUCUCUGCUACAAACUACAGACAGGAAAAAACCUAAACAUGGUAUACAAUAGGACGCGUAUUUCUGCUGAGCCCGUAGGGAGGGAUGAAGGGUUUUUCCUCUCUUUCAGCUGUAUUUUAAAAAGUAAGAGGCACUUCUCUUUAAAUUGGGAUAAAGAAGGCCCAGAUUUGUUCUAAUAGCUACAAAGCACGCUGGCUAUAAUCAACAAUAUUGCUUUCUGCAACCUGCCCAGAGCCUUUCAUGAAAUAUGUCGACAUCAGAAACUACGACCAGGUCAAUAACAAGGACAAAUAAAGAGGUGCAAUUUUGUACUGAGAUGUAAGCGUGUUUGUAGGAAGCACAAAACCUGAAACAGUACACAAUUUUUCAGGGCUUAUAGCUAUAAUUUAAAACGACAGAGCAGGAUUUCAGAGCAAAAAUGCUGCCAAGGAGAAAUGGAUGCUGUGCUUAUCACAUACAUUAACGAUUUGACUCUCCCCACACCGUACCCACCCCUUACAAAUGGC
Long non-coding RNA from Numida meleagris (helmeted guineafowl), 1928 nucleotides. RefSeq lists it as uncharacterized. NCBI's taxonomy places the organism in Eukaryota, Metazoa, Chordata, Aves, Galliformes, Numididae. The transcript is spliced from 7 exons. The record is from RefSeq and is a predicted model, not a curated record.